RNAcentral lists this unclassified non-coding RNA (1144 nucleotides) under Hevea brasiliensis (rubber tree). Lineage: Eukaryota; Viridiplantae; Streptophyta; Magnoliopsida; Malpighiales; Euphorbiaceae. The record is from RNAcentral.
UUCUGAUCAUAUUAACUUGGCGAAGUACAUGUAUGAUGUAAAACUUAGGGGUCAAAAAAGGAAGACAUAGAGAAAGGAUCUGAUUAAUUAUAUCAGAUACCCAUUUAAGAAACUGCACAAUAUGAUAUUAUAUGAUGCAUGUCCAGAAAAAGGGGAAAAUUAUCUCCUGUUUUAUACGCUAAAGGCUGAGAGAUUGUUUGGAGGGUUAAGCAGUGGAACCAAAUGCGCAUCACCAUAUGAUUCUCUUGCAAAGCUUGUAGCCUGAUAAAAGAGUGCAAGUUGCAAUAACUAGGAAAUCUGCAAAUGAAAUCACCUUCCACAGCGAUGCAGUUUUGCUCUUCUGUUGAGAGGCCAAUAUUGCUACUGAACAAGCAGAGAUUAAAAGAUAUCCCAGCAACUGAUCAAGUAUAAAGCUCAGGUAAUCAGAGACCAUGUCAGAGAUGAGAAUGCCCCUGUGUGCUAUAUCAUAAAUACCUUUGAAGAGUUGGAAGGCAGAGUAGACAAAAACUAAAAUAUAUACAAUGAAACAGUACGUUAACUCUGAGUAUCCAGUGAACAGUUGACCAUUCUUCUUUGAUGAUGAAGCAGCCAGUGACAGUGCAGAGACAAAGGAGAAUACGAGGGUCAGGAAUCGAAGAAGUAGAUUGGAAUAAUGGAUGGAAGGUCUAGAGCUCCACCAUGUAGAGGCAUCAGAGAGAGAGAAAGGCGAAGGCGUUGGAAAGGGUCUUUGAGCUAUAGAAUUGGCUGAUACAGGGGAUACACCAGCCACUGGUCUACAAGCAACAACUAGCACCUCCCCUUCUUGUUUCAUUGUUUUGUUCAACUCUCCUUUCUUCAAAAAUGAACUUGAGUUUAUUUUUCUUGCGUUUUCACAGUAUAUCUGAUAACGUUUAUGGAGUUUCGAGGAAAGGAUCUUGGCAGUGAUAGCAAGUAAUUUUAGUCAAUAACUAGAAAGAAAACUGUAGAGGAGACGAAGUUUUUUAUGUUAAAGUCCAAUAUCUUAGUCCAUGUAAGCAUGAAAGACAAACAAUGACCUACUUGAGCUAAUACUUUAUGCUUAUGCUUAAGCAAGAAACAGAUAAGAUUGUAACAUCGAAACUUCUCAAUUUAAAAACAAGAGGAAGGUGAGAGAAGGAUACACACG